GUGUCAGCCGCCGCGGUAAUACGUAGGGUGCAAGCGUUGUCCGGAAUUAUUGGGCGUAAAGAGCUCGUAGGCGGUCUGUCGCGUCUGGUGUGAAAACUCAGGGCUUAACCCUGGGCCUGCAUCGGGUACGGGCAGACUAGAGUGUGGUAGGGGAGACUGGAAUUCCUGGUGUAGCGGUGAAAUGCGCAGAUAUCAGGAGGAACACCGGUGGCGAAGGCGGGUCUCUGGGCCAUAACUGACGCUGAGGAGCGAAAGCAUGGGGAGCGAACAGGAUUAGAAACCCUCGUAGUCC
RNAcentral lists this ribosomal RNA (292 nucleotides) under uncultured bacterium. RNAcentral's name for it is "partial 16S ribosomal RNA". It matches the Rfam family "Bacterial small subunit ribosomal RNA", at positions 505 to 796 of the family's 1533-position model. The record is from RNAcentral.